UGUGGAGCUCGAACUCACGAGCUCUGAGAUGGUGACCUGAUCUGAAGUCGGACACUCAACCUACUAAACCACCCAGGUGCCCUUAUAAAUGGAUUUUUUGAGCAGCAUUCCAAGGGUAAAUGAUAGCCAGGGUUGUUCUAAGCUGAUGCACCCCCUCCCCCCAUCCAAAAAAAAUUUUUCCCUCCUUUUGAAAGCAGCUGGUUCCAUGUUUUUAAAAUCCUGUGAUUCACAAGAGAAGACAUCUUCCACGUCCAUUCCCCUCUGCCACUCUUAAAUGCAUCCUUGUGUGAGUAAAUGCUUAGUCCAUAAUCAGUCUACUGAAAGUAUUGAGCCAUAUACCAUGUGCAAAGCAUUGUGCUUGACCUGUGGGGGAAGACGUGGCUCAUUAAGGCACUAGAAAUUUUGCUGGAUAAAUUUAAUCUACAACAUUGAAAGAAUCCAAAGAAUUCCAGAAAAGACUGUAAAGUUAUAGUGGAGUUUAGGGAUGGGGGGAGAUCCUUGUGAACUGUAGAAGUCUGGAAAACCUUUAGAUACGAUCAAAUAUGAAGACUUGAAUUGACCUAUAAAGGAGAGGAACAUUUGACUAGACAGAGGGAAGUAUGUUUGCAGGGUUAAGGGGCAAAGCAAGGUACAGUGGGGAAAGAGGGAGUAGAGGCAUUGGGGGAGAAAGAAGUGUGGUUUUUGCGACCAAGUACAGUGAACCCUUAAGACCAGUGCAGAGGAUUUACAUGCUUCACAUACUUUAGCUGGUCAUUUCUAGCCCUUGGCCAUUCCACUGUAAGUCAGGCAUAGCUUUGAGACGAAGAGUAGAGUUUCUGGUACCACAUUGCUUCAGAGAUGGAUGCUGGCUCUACCACUUAACACCUGUGCAACCUUGGACAAAUCACUUAAUCUCACUAAACCUCUGUUUCCUCAUCUAUAAAAUGGGAGUAAUCACCGCACCUACCCCAAAAGGUUUCUGUGAGGAUUAAAUGGUAGGACUGAGUAUCCCAGACAUCCAGACCUUCUGAAAUGUCAGCUGCUGUCAUCACUGUUGGUCAAGUAGAUGAGUGCUAUGGAGGCGAUCCUUCUUUUUCUUAAUACAUGUCUUAGCUCAGAAGUGUGGCAGAACUUUUCCUGAGUUCCAGCUAGUAUCAUCAGCUUACGCUCUAUCUCUGGAAAUGCCAGGGAGAGGUGGCUCCUGCCUGAACCUUGCUUCUGGCCUUCAGUACUUCUCCCACUUGCUUUACAGCCAGAACCAGAAUUGUUUGCUCAGUUAUUAGUGUUUUUUCAGCUUUUAUAAAGUCUUCAUGGCUCCAGGUAUCUCUUCUUAACUUGCUUAUGGCCUUAACGUUCUGCUUCCACUUCUCAAGAUGUAUUCAGCCUGUCCUUUCAUGUACUGCUUCUGUGUUUGUGCUUUCCACGCCUCCGAAAUGUUGGGGCAGUCACUGGCUCUGGGAAUGCUGCUCACGCUGUUUUGCUACAGAUCAUUGAGAGAGUGAAUCAUGAGCAUAAAGUAUAAUAAAUAAUCACUGGUUGAUGGAGCCUGUCCCAGGCUAGCCCUGGCCCCCAGCAUGGGCAGGAUGAAGGCUUGUGACAUUGUCCAGGUCUAGUCUGUCCCCAUUAGAAACCUUCCUCUCCCCUGGAAAGAUGGUCCAGAGAAUGGUUUGGCUGUGUCAGAACCACACAGAGGACAGUGGCCCAGGAGACUGAAAAGCAGCCUUUCUCAACUUGUCUUCCUGGUGCUAUAAUGAUUUGGCCUUCCCAGUGCAGUUAAAAAAUAAUUAGGAAACAGUGCCCUUUGAUGAGACUCCCUUCAUCUUGUCUAAAUUAUAUGAUUCUUUGUCCCUACUUGCUCCCAAAACAUGGGGUUUUUUUCCUUCUUUAAAUGGCGUAGAGUGGUCUCAAAGGUUUCAAGUCAACGAACCCGGCCUCUCGUAGUCCCCCAUUCUUCCUUCUCACUUAAAACUCCACUUACCUUCUUCUGGACAGUAGUGUUUAUCUCAUGGCCUUGCAGACUUCAUGUGGCUCUGGUUCCUGGCCCCUCCUUGCCCACUUGUAAGAGACACAGAGAAGAGAAGUAGCACCUUCUAGAGACAAAUUCCAAGGAGAACUGUGGGAACCCCUGAGGUGUCCCCCACAUCACCCACCACCCCCCACACAGAGAGCUGUGGAGGACUGCCCUCUACAGGUUACCUGAUAGGCUGGCCACUGAUUCCCAGGGCCGGAGAGAGGGCCGAGCUCACCUCAAUUCUGGCCUGCAGCUACCCCUCCCCACUGCCUUUCAUUCUUCCUGUCCUCUCCCUUACUCCUCAUUUAAGCUUCCCUGAGACAAGCUAUAAAAUACAUGUCACAAACUAAGGGGGUGGAAGGAAAGCUGUGAGCCUCAACAUUUUAAAAACUAAGGACACAGCUUUGAAGAUGAGAAGCAUUAUUAGGGUAUUCUAAAUCGGGGCUUCCCAAGUUUGCAUCACAGCAUGCGUGUGCGCCACAAGUCACCUGCAGUCAGAGAAGGGGCUUGCUGGGCAUGCCUAUAUGGGAACCCCCUCUCUAGUAAGUCUGGGCGAGGGCUGAGGGGCUGCAGUGUUAACAGGCUUCUGGAAUGAUUCUGAUGCAGGCGAUCUGGAGACCCUGCUCUGAACGAUGCUGCUGUAGGAGGGAAAAGAGCAGGGAAAGGUACAUCCUAAACAGAAAUCCCUUUUUGUUCUAAAAUGUCUGGCUGAGAGACCCCAAAAUGUAACAUCUUACCUUACCGGUAGAUAGGCCAAGUUUGGUUCAUGUUAGGGAAUAUAGCCUAGUCUGGCUCAGAAGUAGGGAUGCAGGCAUCUCAGUGUGCCUGAGCCCCGACACACUGUGGAGCCAUGAAGGCGACCACACAGAGAGAUCAAUGACAGUGUGUCUGCCUUUGCCCUGUUGUGUGGUUGAAGCUUCCUUCACCGUGGAACCCUGUGUGCCACAGAAUUUAACUGGACUAAGCAAAUUUGAGAGAAAAACCCUGGAAUGAGGUGGUCAAAUAGCUCCGAGAAGCUUGGGGGCUCUCAGAGACUUUACAGCAGUGUAUCUCAAAGGGUGGCUCAAAUAAUAACCUGCAGCAUAAUCUCUUGGGUUCCUCCCCAGACCUACUGAGACAGAAGCUUUGGUGGGAUGGUCAGGAAUCUACAAUGAAGCAAGCUCCAAAGGUGGCAGUGCUGCACCCUUCUGUGCAAUGUUGUGGAGACACUCAGUCUUUGCCGUCAAGAAACGGUUACUGCUCAGGAUAUGACAGCUCUCUGUGCUCCUCAGAGGAGAGCUGGGCUGUCCACUCAUCAGACAUUUCCACAUGGAAACCCAGGGCCUGCUGUUAGCAGGGGGGAGUUUGGCUUGCGAGAGUACUCGGAGGUGAAGACGGUGACAGUAAAGAUCCCUCAGAAGAACUCCUAAGAAGGCCAAGGGGGAAGGUGGAGGCCAUCCCGCAGGACUCUCCCUCUCUGCUCUCCCUGGGGGGCCCGGCUCUCAGGAAUCCAAAGUCCGUACUUGGUCCUUAUUUAAAGUGAAAUAAUGACACGUAGGCCAGGCCAGUCAGUGGGUAAUGAAAGCAGACCAUGUGGGCACCAUUUCCUGGCACUCUGUAAGGGUUCACCUGAAUAAUACCAAAUACUGGGGAAAGGGGAUGGAGAGCAGAGGAGUAGCUGUCAGGGACUUCGAUCUCUCCAGAGGGAUGGGCUGGCGCCUUUUGUCACAAAGAACUUUCCUCCUGAGGGAAGCUUGUCCUUCCAUUGUCUUCAUUUUCCCCUUUCCAGCCUCUCUCUGCUUACCCAUCCCUCCCACCCCUCCAAGGAGAUCUCAGCUGAGCUCAUUUGGGGCAGAUGUUUGGGCCGGGAACAAUUUUCCAAGGUUUUGCAGCCAAAUUACCAUUUCAUGUUAUCCACUUCUUCAAAGCAAAACAUGAAAUGGUUUUAGUUAGAGCCAGACCAGACUGAAAAUGCCAGGAGCUGGUACACUGCAGAUGUACCAAGAAGCAAGAACUGGGGACGUUCCUGACCCAGUCUGGCUUUCUUACAUCCAUAAAUAACACGAGCAAAAGAGCAGGAAGAUGGAGAUCUGGAGAUCAUCCUAUAUAGUUCACAACUUCUGAUCUGGCUGCUUGGCUUUGGGGCGUGUGGGUGCACGUGUGUUUACUUCCUUCUGGGUGAUUCUGGGAUAAGGUGGGGGCAGGGGGGGGUUGUUUUUCAUAGAUUGAUAAGAUCUUUUUCCAAAGCUUAUCUUAACAACCCAGAAAUAAAUGGCUGGGCUCAAGAAUUUGGUAAAAGGUAAUGCUGGGGGCCUUGCGGAAAUAAUUUCAUUUUCAGUACUGGCUGACAAUUCUUACUAAGUGAAUUAUCUCUUCAGUUGGACUCUUCAGCCUCUGUCCCCCGCCCCCCAUUGCCCCAGCACUGCUACUCCCAGUGCUCUGGCUGUCACUUUGGCCUAUCGUGCCCUAAAUCCACUGGCAGUAACCCUGGAGAACCUGAGCAAGCCUGCAGAUUCCGUGUCACUCGCAGACUUGCAGCGUGCCACGAUUGCCACGUUCCACCAGACCUCCGCCGACUCGUCCAGCGGCUCGUCCACGUCCACGCGGCCUUUUCCCUCCCAGCCUCCCCAGGAGCCUCCCGAGGGGGAGGCACCAAGCGGUGCCCCUCCCUCCCCUCCAGUCACACCCUCCUCUCCUGCUUUCCAAUGCAUCCACCGCAUCCACCGGUUGAUGGACAGCAUCACCUUCCUUUCCUCCUUCCACUCUCCUGGCUGCCGAAGUCAGUCCGGUCUGUAACGUAGAUGGAGAUCAUUUAUUUAAAAGUACCAAACAUAGCCUAGAGUACAUGGAAUAUGGCCAACACAUAUAUAGUCUUCUGUAUUUAAUGGGUUUCUGCUUUCUAACCAUCCCGGGUUUCUAUUUAUAAGUCUUGUCUAUUCAUGAUGUUUAAAGAAAUCCCUCCUCGCUGUUAUUUACGAACGGCAGUGCAUUCAGUGGCCCGAUGCCUUGAGAGACGCCACAUCUCUGAGCCCUUCCGUGUGACUGUCAUGCUCUCCUUAUAGCUUGUGUCCAAGUGAACAUAUCCAUUAACCAGCUAGUUACCUUUCAACUGCAGUAUAGAAUGUGAAAAUGAAGAUUUAUUUCUUUUAAUUUACUUAAAAAGAAACCUCUGUGCUAGCAAUAAAGCAUUUAUAUUGUGUA
Molecule: long non-coding RNA, 5170 nt
Organism: Herpailurus yagouaroundi (jaguarundi)
Lineage: Eukaryota; Metazoa; Chordata; Mammalia; Carnivora; Felidae
Exons: 3
Source: RefSeq, a predicted model, not a curated record